CCCAACGGGAAAAGAAUUUCACUCCCAAACCCCUGUGACAUACCUAUACGUUGCCUCGGCGGAUCAGCCCGCGCCCCGUAAAACGGGACGGCCCGCCCGAGGACCCCUAAACUCUGUUUUUAGUGGAACUUCUGAGUAAAACAAACAAAUAAAUCAAAACUUUCAACAACGGAUCUCUUGGUUCUGGCAUCGAUGAAGAACGCAGCAAAAUGCGAUAAGUAAUGUGAAUUGCAGAAUUCAGUGAAUCAUCGAAUCUUUGAACGCACAUUGCGCCCGCCAGUAUUCUGGCGGGCAUGCCUGUUCGAGCGUCAUUUCAACCCUCAAGCUCAGCUUGGUGUUGGGACUCGCGGUAACCCGCGUUCCCCAAAUCGAUUGGCGGUCACGUCGAGCUUCCAUAGCGUAGUAAUCAUACACCUCGUUACUGGUAAUCGUCGCGGCCACGCCGUAAAACCCCAACUUCUGAAUGUUGACCUCGGAUCAGGUAGGAAUACCCGCUGAACUUAAGCAUAUCAAUAAGCGGAGGAA
Molecule: ribosomal RNA, 525 nt
Filed under: Fusarium chlamydosporum
Lineage: Eukaryota; Fungi; Ascomycota; Sordariomycetes; Hypocreales; Nectriaceae
Description: eukaryotic LSU rRNA
Rfam family: 5.8S ribosomal RNA (bases 158-311)
Source: RNAcentral